AGGAAGUUGGCUUCACUAGGGCAAGGAAUGAAUGGCCACCACUGCUUUUGUGCCAAAGGACUAAGCCUCCCUGGGAGAGAGGACAAGAACAGGCUGGAGGAGGGGUGCCCUUCAUCAUCUUGUGAGCAUCUGGGCCAAGUUCAGGGCUGGUGCUCUCGUUCAGAUAGAUUUAGCUGGUGGUGCAGAGAUCCGUGAGCUUGCUUUUACAGGACUUUAAUGAUAUAUAAAAGCAGCACGAGGUGCUCCUGACUGUGGAUUAAUUUGGAGAUGACUUUCUCUGUUGAAGAGUAGCAAGACUCUCGCGAGUUCUUAAAAAUGCACUUGUUUGGUAUGAGAAUGAAAAGCAGUGGCUGAAGAACCAAUCUUCAAUGGGCAAGCCUUCUCUGUGUCUGUUCUAACACGUGCCAUUUGGGAUCCCUUGGAAUCUUCAUGUACAGAACUGGUUGCUGCCUCGUUGAGUCGGUGGGGACAGAAUAGCUCCUGGUUGACAGCAUGGGUUGUGCAGAAGGACGGAUCCUGCAGACAUCAAUAUCUGGCUUUGAGUGGCACAAAGAAAUAAAGGAAUGUGGAUUCAGACCUCACUGGGAUGCUUGGCAAUUCUAAUUCUACCCCAGACUGCAAAUGGACACACAACUGUUGUGACUUUUGUUGAAGAGGAGAAGGAUGGUGAAGGUCUCUUUAGUCAAUAAUCUCUUUGCUGAAAUUGCUUCGGGCAGCACAGAAGCUGGAUUCAGAAGCACACAGGUCUGGGGAUGCAGGCUUCGGCCAGCCUGAUGCAAGGAAAGACUGCCAUCUCGUGGUCAGCUCAAUCCUGGCACCUUGGUGAGGGACCAGGCUGCAGAAAACCAGGCUUGGGGAGGAAACGGUGCUGCAAACUGGAUUUCUGCCGGACAGUGUGGAUGCCCUUAGAAAACACCCAGAAAAGAGCUGAGUGCCCCCCAAGGUAGGCUUCAGUGAAUCCUCUGCAGGUGUGUUGUCAUCCCUUGAGCCAAACACAUGCUUCACACACACGCUGCAGGCUGCGUGAAAAUGAGGUAGAAAUGUGGGGAAAACAUAAUCCCAUGGAGAGAACAAAGAGCUGAACACGUAAAUGCCUCCGGCGUGCCUGGCAGAGAGAACACUCAGGCUGAGAGAAGGGACAGUGACUUGUACCAAAGGUAGGCAAGUAGCCUCUGGGGUCUCAAUCAGCAGGGCAUCUGGUCAACCCUUCAGACAAAGUCAGGUCUGAGCAGGCAAGAUCCAUGGAUCUGAUUUAUUAAUAUUUUUACAAUUAAAUAGAAUCUGAUUGUAAAACUGUUACAUGUGUUGUAAGAAAAAAAGAAAAAAAGGAAGGAUAUAGAAAUGUACAAAGAAGGAAAUAAAAGACUGGAAGCGUCCUCACCUUAGGGACCCAUUAUUAACGCUUAGGUGGCCAAUCUUCCAGACAUCUUGCUACGAAUAUAUUCAAACGGGAAUUAAAAAUGUACUUUUACACAAGUGCAAUCAGACCUUGUACUCCUCUAUCCCAUAACCUACUUUUUCAUUCAACACUAUGACAGAAGCGUCUUUCCAGGUCCAUAAAUAAAGGCUGUUUCCCAUAUAAGGUUCAUGACCCCCAGUGAGGAUGAAACUGCCUGCAAGGUUUGUCUUCUCUCCUGUUCACUGGUUACUCAGCCAGGCUGAUUCAUGGGCUUCUCAAAGGAGCUUGUUUAUCAGAAGCUUGUCUAAGACACCACGUCUUCCAGAAAAUCUCACCUGAGUCACCAACAGAUUCCUCUAAGAGUCUGUAAGCCACUCCUGACCAGCAGGAAACCCCAACAGAGGCAAAGAAUAGGAAAUUAAAUAUUUCGUCAAGAAAAAAUGAGAGGCUGGGUGCGGUGGCUCAUGCCUAUAUCCCAGCACUUUAGGAGGCCUAAGCGGGCGGAUCAUUUGAGGUCAGGAGUUUGAGACCAGCCCGGCCAACAUGGUGAAACCCUGUCUCUACUAAAAAUACAAAAACAAUUAGCUGGGCAUGGUGGUGGGUGCUUGUAAUCCCAGCUACUGGGGGAGGCUGAGGCGGGAGAAUCGCUGAAACCCAGGAGACAGAAGUUGCUGUGAGCCGAGACCACACCACUGCACUCCAGCCUGGGUGAGAGUGAGACUGUCUCAAAAAAAAAAAAAAAAAAAAAAAAAAAGCAAGAAAGCUCCCAUUUAGAUCACUCGGACAAAAGAUUUCUUUUUGUGCCAAAAUGUUCCACUAGGCUUCCAGUUUUUACCACAUAACUUGACAGUCAUGCAAGACUUAAGUGUAUUUUCAGCUAUCCUUUCUCUUUCAUUUAUUUCUGUUUAAUAAGCUCUGUCCAUUGAUUCUAGUUAGUACAUUAUAUAUCUUUUUAAUCACUUACCUGCAG
Molecule: long non-coding RNA, 2369 nt
Filed under: Homo sapiens (human)
Lineage: Eukaryota; Metazoa; Chordata; Mammalia; Primates; Hominidae
Description: HSALNT0265336
Source: RNAcentral